GGGUGGAUCCGCAAAGUCGGCUUGCGAAAUUCAGCUCGGAAGGCUGGUGCGGGCGUCUCGUCCGAGAUCUCUUUGUGGACUCGCCAGGCGUUCGGGCUGCCGGUCUGACGUGUGCACUUUUCGCAGGCAGAGCGCCACGACCGGUUCUCGGGCAGUCAGAAGGCGGCGAGGAAGGUAGGCGGGCACUUCGGUGCUCGCUGUUAUAGCCUUGCCUGUCCUGAGCUGCCGUCACGGGGACCGAGGAGCCGCCGCUCGGCUCGUAGCUACCCUGCUCUCCCGGGGGUGAUUCGACUGGCAGAGACUGGGCAACCGUGUCUGCCGACUGCUCCCCGGGACAGAUCGGGGAUGAACCGGUAGCUGGCCGGGCAACAGGGUCGGUGGCGAAUCGGUCGGCACUCCACCCGACCCGUCUUGAAACACGGACCAAGGAGUCUAACAUGCGCGCGAGUCGUUGGGUUGUACGAAACCCGAAGGCGGAGUGAAAGCGAGGGCCGUUCUAGCGACGUGCUCAGGUGGGAUCCUUGCUCCUCCGGAGCAGGGCGCACCACCGGCCCGUCUCGUUCGCGGUGUCGAGGAGGCGGAGCAAGAGCGUGCACGUUGGGACCCGAAAGAUGGUGAACUAUGCCUGAGUAGGAUGAAGCCAGAGGAAACUCUGGUGGAGGUCCGCAGCGAUUCUGACGUGCAAAUCGAUCGUCAAACUUGGGUAUAGGGGC
This 713-nucleotide ribosomal RNA is filed under the name Opisthostoma tenerum. RNAcentral's name for it is "eukaryotic LSU rRNA". The stretch from base 423 to 713 matches the Rfam family "Eukaryotic large subunit ribosomal RNA", at positions 665 to 924 of the family's 3401-position model. The record is from RNAcentral. Lineage: Eukaryota; Metazoa; Mollusca; Gastropoda; Architaenioglossa; Diplommatinidae.